RNAcentral lists this ribosomal RNA (116 nucleotides) under Lepisosteus oculatus (spotted gar). The record is from RNAcentral. Lineage: Eukaryota; Metazoa; Chordata; Actinopteri; Semionotiformes; Lepisosteidae.
GCGAGCAGCCAUAUCACCCUGAAGCUCCCAACUAGCAGCCCACUGAAGCUCAGCAGGUGUGAGCCUGGUCAGUACCUGGAUGGGAGACUCCUGGGAAGCUAUGGUUGCUGCUGAAA